GACGAACGCUGGCGGCGUGCUUAACACAUGCAAGUCGAACGGAAAGGCCCUGCUUUUGUGGGGUGCUCGAGUGGCGAACGGGUGAGUAACACGUGAGUAACCUGCCCUUGACUUUGGGAUAACUUCAGGAAACUGGGGCUAAUACCGGAUAGGAGCUCCUGCUGCAUGGUGGGGGUUGGAAAGUUUCGGCGGUUGGGGAUGGACUCGCGGCUUAUCAGCUUGUUGGUGGGGUAGUGGCUUACCAAGGCUUUGACGGGUAGCCGGCCUGAGAGGGUGACCGGCCACAUUGGGACUGAGAUACGGCCCAGACUCAUACGGGCGGCAGCAGUGGGGAAUAUUCCACACUGGGCGGAAGCAUGAUGCAGCAACGCCGCGUGCGGGAUGACGGCCUUCGGGUUGUAAACCGCUUUCGCCUGUGACGAAGCGUGAGUGACGGUAAUGGGUAAAGAAGCACCGGCUAACUACGUG
RNAcentral lists this ribosomal RNA (468 nucleotides) under uncultured bacterium. Its description in RNAcentral is "partial 16S ribosomal RNA". It matches the Rfam family "Bacterial small subunit ribosomal RNA", at positions 28 to 507 of the family's 1533-position model. The record is from RNAcentral.